GGCCUGGUGGCACAGCGGUAGUGCAUCUGCAUACAAUACAUUGAAAUGAUAGAACAGUGUGCAGACGAUGCUGGUUCGAGUCCGGCCUGGGCCU
This is a non-coding RNA of Mycena rebaudengoi, 94 nucleotides long. Lineage: Eukaryota; Fungi; Basidiomycota; Agaricomycetes; Agaricales; Mycenaceae. The record is from the annotation of a GenBank genome assembly.